UACGUAGGGCGCAAGCGUUUGUCCGGAAUUAUUGGGCGUAAAGAGCUCGUAGGCGGUUUGUCGCGUCUGCUGUGAAAACCUAAGGCUCAACCUUGGGCUUGCAGUGGGUACGGGCAGACUGGAGUGCGGUAGGGGAGAUUGGAAUUCCUGGUGUAGCGGUGGAAUGCGCAGAUAUCAGGAGGAACACCGAUGGCGAAGGCAGAUCUCUGGGCCGUAACUGACGCUGAGGAGCGAAAGCGUGGGGAGCGAACAGG
This 254-nucleotide ribosomal RNA is filed under the name uncultured bacterium. Its description in RNAcentral is "partial 16S ribosomal RNA". It matches the Rfam family "Bacterial small subunit ribosomal RNA", at positions 524 to 776 of the family's 1533-position model. The record is from RNAcentral.